GAAAGGUUAUAUAAUAUAUAUCCCACCUGAAUGUAGACAGAGGGAAAGGUUAUAUAAUAUAUAUCCCACCUGAAUGUAGACAGAGGGAAAGGUUAUAUAAUAUAUAUCCCACCUGAAUGUAGACAGAGGGAAAGGUUAUAUAAUAUAUAUCCCACCUGAAUGUAGACACCCACAGAGGGAAAGGUUAUAUAAUAUAUAUCCCACCUGAAUGUAGACACCCACAGAGGGAAAGGUUAUAUAAUAUAUAUCCCACCUGAAUGUAGACAGAGGGAAAGGUUAUAUAAUAUAUAUCCCACCUGAAUGUAGACACCCACAGAGGGAAAGGUUAUAUAAUAUAUAUCCCACCUGAAUGUAGACAGAGGGAAAGGUUAUAUAAUAUAUAUCCCACCUGAAUGUAGACACCCACAGAGGGAAAGGUUAUAUAAUAUAUAUCCCACCUGAAUGUAGACACCCACAGAGGGAAAGGUUAUAUAAUAUAUAUCCCACCUGAAUGUAGACAGAGGGAAAGGUUAUAUAAUAUAUAUCCCACCUGAAUGUAGACAGAGGGAAAGGUUAUAUAAUAUAUAUCCCACCUGAAUGUAGACAGAGGGAAAGGUUAUAUAAUAUAUAUCCCACCUGAAUGUAGACAGAGGGAAAGGUUAUAUAAUAUAUAUCCCACCUGAAUGUAGACGCCCACAGAGGGAAAGGUUAUAUAAUAUAUAUCCCACCUGAAUGUAGACAGAGGGAAAGGUUAUAUAAUAUAUAUCCCACCUGAAUGUAGACAGAGGGAAAGGUUAUAUAAUAUAUAUCCCACCUGAAUGUAGACAGAGGGAAAGGUUAUAUAAUAUAUAUCCCACCUGAAUGUAGACAGAGGGAAAGGUUAUAUAAUAUAUAUCCCACCUGAAUGUAGACAGAGGGAAAGGUUAUAUAAUAUAUAUCCCACCUGAAUGUAGACAGAGGGAAAGGUUAUAUAAUAUAUAUCCCACCUGAAUGUAGACAGAGGGAAAGGUUAUAUAAUAUAUAUCCCACCUGAAUGUAGACAGAGGGAAAGGUUAUAUAAUAUAUAUCCCACCUGAAUGUAGACGCCCACAGAGGGAAAGGUUAUAUAAUAUAUAUCCCACCUGAAUGUAGACAGAGGGAAAGGUUAUAUAAUAUAUAUCCCACCUGAAUGUAGACAGAGGGAAAGGUUAUAUAAUAUAUAUCCCACCUGAAUGUAGACAGAGGGAAAGGUUAUAUAAUAUAUAUCCCACCUGAAUGUAGACAGAGGGAAAGGUUAUAUAAUAUAUAUCCCACCUGAAUGUAGACAGAGGGAAAGGUUAUAUAAUAUAUAUCCCACCUGAAUGUAGACAGAGGGAAAGGUUAUAUAAUAUAUAUCCCACCUGAAUGUAGACGCCCACAGAGGGAAAGGUUAUACAAUGACAGUAUAUGUUACACGGUAUGUUUUCAGUCCCAGGAAAACUCCUAAACUUCCACUUAGUCAUCAUUAGUGAAUAUAUAACUGAAGUGAAAGUUAGUGUUGA
Oncorhynchus keta (chum salmon) is the source of this 1499-nucleotide long non-coding RNA. RefSeq lists it as uncharacterized. The transcript is spliced from 6 exons. NCBI's taxonomy places the organism in Eukaryota, Metazoa, Chordata, Actinopteri, Salmoniformes, Salmonidae. The record is from RefSeq and is a predicted model, not a curated record.